This 301-nucleotide ribosomal RNA is filed under the name uncultured bacterium. RNAcentral describes it as "partial 16S ribosomal RNA". It matches the Rfam family "Bacterial small subunit ribosomal RNA", at positions 509 to 807 of the family's 1533-position model. The record is from RNAcentral.
CAGUCGCCACGGGAACACGGAGGGGGCUAGCGUUGUUCGGAAUUACUGGGCGUAAAGCGCACGUAGGCGGCGAUCUAAGUCAGGGGUGAAAGCCCGGGGCUCAACCCCGGAAUAGCCUUUGAGACUGGAUUGCUAGAAUCUGGGAGAGGUGAGUGGAAUUCCGAGUGUAGAGGUGAAAUUCGUAGAUAUUCGGAAGAACACCAGUGGCGAAGGCGGCUCACUGGACCAGUAUUGACGCUGAGGUGCGAAAGCGUGGGGAGCAAACAGGAUUAGAUACCCGAGUAGUCCCUGUCUCUUAUAC